UCCCUGGUGGUCCAGUAGCUAAGACUUCAUGCCUGCAGUGCAGGGGGUCUAGGUUCAAUUCCUGGUCAGGGAA
RNAcentral lists this transfer RNA (73 nucleotides) under Bos taurus (domestic cattle). It matches the Rfam family "tRNA". Rfam says of the family: Transfer RNA (tRNA) molecules are approximately 80 nucleotides in length. Their secondary structure includes four short double-helical elements and three loops (D, anti-codon, and T loops). Lineage: Eukaryota; Metazoa; Chordata; Mammalia; Artiodactyla; Bovidae. The record is from Rfam by way of RNAcentral. RNAcentral also lists the same sequence under 1 other name.